UGCCUUUGUGUUCCCAUUCAUUACCUUCUAAAAUGAAUGUGGUGUCAAAAAAGGCAAACAAUAAUUCUUGAUUGGACUGUGUGAGGGGCUGGCAAUUUGCCUUUCUCCUCCCUGUUUUUGCAAGGACAGAA
This 131-nucleotide small nucleolar RNA is filed under the name Numida meleagris (helmeted guineafowl). RNAcentral's name for it is "Small nucleolar RNA SNORA13 (ENSNMEG00000002145.1)". It matches the Rfam family "Small nucleolar RNA SNORA13". Rfam says of the family: ACA13 is a member of the H/ACA class of snoRNA that guide the sites of modification of uridines to pseudouridines. Lineage: Eukaryota; Metazoa; Chordata; Aves; Galliformes; Numididae. The record is from RNAcentral.